RNAcentral lists this ribosomal RNA (529 nucleotides) under uncultured Glomus. RNAcentral's name for it is "SSU rRNA". It matches the Rfam family "Eukaryotic small subunit ribosomal RNA", at positions 569 to 1092 of the family's 1831-position model. The record is from RNAcentral. RNAcentral also lists the same sequence under 2 other names. Lineage: Eukaryota; Fungi; Glomeromycota; Glomeromycetes; Glomerales; Glomeraceae.
AGCAGCCGCGGUAAUUCCAGCUCCAAUAGCGUAUAUUAAAGUUGUUGCAGUUAAAAAGCUCGUAGUUGAAUUUCGGGAUUGGCGCAUCGGUCGUGCCUCACGGGGUAUGAACUGGUGCAGUCAAUUUCUCACCUUCUGGAGAACCGCGAUGUCCUUAAUUGGAUGCCGCGGGGAACCAGGACCUUUACUUUGAAAAAAUUAGAGUGUUUAAAGCAGGCAUUUUUGCUUGAAUACAUUAGCAUGGAAUAAUAAAAUAGGACGGCAUGGUUCUAUUUUGUUGGUUUCUAGGACCACCGUAAUGAUUAAUAGGGAUAGUUGGGGGCAUUAGUAUUCAAUUGUCAGAGGUGAAAUUCUUGGAUUUAUUGAAGACUAACUACUGCGAAAGCAUUUGCCAAGGAUGUUUUCAUUAAUCAAGAACGAAAGUUAGGGGAUCGAAGACGAUCAGAUACCGUCGUAGUCUUAACCAUAAACUAUGCCGACUAGGAAUCAGACGAUGUUAAUUUUUUAAUGACUCGUUUGGCACCUUACG